CGCGGCCUAUCAGCUUGUUGGUGAGGUAAUGGCUCACCAAGGCGACGACGGGUAGCCGGCCUGAGAGGGCGACCGGCCACACUGGGACUGAGACACGGCCCAGACUCCUACGGGAGGCAGCAGUAGGGAAUAUUGGGCAAUGGGCGCAAGCCUGACCCAGCGACGCCGCGUGAGGGAUGAAGGUCUUCGGAUUGUAAACCUCUUUCAGUAGGGAAGAAGCGAAAGUGACGGUACCUAAAGAAGAAGCACCGGCUAACUAUGUGCCAGCAGCCGCGGUAAUACAUAGGGUGCAAGCGUUGUCCGGAAUUAUUGGGCGUAAAGAGCUCGUAGGUCGUUUGUCGCGUCGAUUGUGAUAAUCUGAGGCUCAACCUCAGACCUGCAGUCGAUACGGGUAAACUAGAGUGUGGUAGGGGAGACUGGAAUUCCUGGUGUAGCGGUGGAAUGCGCAGAUAUCAGGAGGAACACCAAUGGCGAAGGCAGGUCUCUGGGCCAUAACUGACACUGAGGAGCGAAAGUGCGGGGAGCGAACAGGAUUAGAUACCCUGGUAGUCCGCACCGUAAACGGUGGGCACUAGUUGUGGGAACCUUCCACGGUUUCCGCGACGCAGCAAACGCAUUAAGUGCCCCGCCUGGGGAGUACG
RNAcentral lists this ribosomal RNA (641 nucleotides) under uncultured Actinomycetes bacterium. RNAcentral describes it as "bacterial SSU rRNA". It matches the Rfam family "Bacterial small subunit ribosomal RNA", at positions 232 to 884 of the family's 1533-position model. Lineage: Bacteria; Bacillati; Actinomycetota; Actinomycetes. The record is from RNAcentral.